Molecule: ribosomal RNA, 495 nt
Filed under: uncultured bacterium
Lineage: Bacteria
Description: partial 16S ribosomal RNA
Rfam family: Bacterial small subunit ribosomal RNA
Source: RNAcentral
GACGAACGCUGGCGGCGUGCCUAAUACAUGCAAGUAGAACGCUGAAGGAGGAGCUUGCUCUUCUGGAUGAGUUGCGAACGGGUGAGUAACGCGUAGGUAACCUGCCUGGUAGCGGGGGAUAACUAUUGGAAACGAUAGCUAAUACCGCAUAAGAGUAGAUGUUGCAUGACAUUUGCUUAAAAGGUGCAAUUGCAUCACUACCAGAUGGACCUGCGUUGUAUUAGCUAGUUGGUGGGGUAACGGCUCACCAAGGCGACGAUACAUAGCCGACCUGAGAGGGUGAUCGGCCACACUGGGACUGAGACACGGCCCAGAUUCCUACGGGAGGCAGCAGUAGGGAAUCUUCGGCAAUGGACGGAAGUCUGACCGAGCAACGCCGCGGGAGUGAAGAAGGGUGUCGGAUCGUAAAGCUCUGUUGUAAGAGAAGAACGGGUGUGAGAGUGGAAAGUUCACACUGUGACGGUAGCUUACCAGAAAGGGACGGCUAACUACGUG